GACGAACGCUGGCGGCGUGCUUAACACAUGCAAGUCGAACGGAAAGGCCUGCUUUCCCUUGUGGAUUGCGGGUACUCGAGUGGCGAACGGGUGAGUAACACGUGAGUGAUCUGCCCCCAACUUGGGUAUAAGCCUGGGAAACUGGGUCUAAUUCCCGAUAGGACUGCAGGGUGGUGCCUGUGGUGGAAAACGAUUUUCUAGUGGUUGGGGAUGAGCUCGCGGCCUAUCAGCUUGUUGGUGGGGUAAUGGCCUACCAAGGCGGCGACGGGUAGCCGGCCUGAGAGGGUGGACGGCCACAUUGGGACUGGGAUACGGCCCAGACUCCUGCGGGAGGCAGCAGUGGGGAAUAUUGCACAAUGGGCGGAAGCCUGAUGCAGCGACGCCGCGUGGGGGAUGACGGCCUUCGGGUUGUAAACUCCUUUCGACCGCGAGGAAGCCACCUGGUUGGAAGGGUGGUGACGGUAGUGGUAGAAGAAGCACCGGCUAACUACGUG
This 494-nucleotide ribosomal RNA is filed under the name uncultured bacterium. Its description in RNAcentral is "partial 16S ribosomal RNA". It matches the Rfam family "Bacterial small subunit ribosomal RNA", at positions 28 to 507 of the family's 1533-position model. The record is from RNAcentral.